UACGUAGGGGGCAAGCGUUGUCCGGAUUUAUUGGGCGUAAAGAGCGUGUAGGCGGUCUGGUAGGUCCGUUGUGAAAACUCGAGGCUCAACCUCGAGACGCCGAUGGAAACCCUCAGACUAGAGUCCGGAAGAGGAGAGUGGAAUUCCUGGUGUAGCGGUGAAAUGCGCAGAUAUCAGGAGGAACACCGGUGGCGAAGGCGGUUCUCUGGGCAUUACCUGACGCUGAGGAGCGAAAGUGUGGGGAGCGAACAGG
Molecule: ribosomal RNA, 253 nt
Filed under: uncultured bacterium
Lineage: Bacteria
Description: partial 16S ribosomal RNA
Rfam family: Bacterial small subunit ribosomal RNA
Source: RNAcentral